UACGUAGGGUGCAGGCGUUAAUCGGAAUUACUGGGCGUAAAGGGUGCGUAGGCGGGUCUUUAAGUCAGGGGUGAAAUCCUGGAGCUCAACUCCAGAACUGCCUUUGAUACUGAGGAUCUUGAGUCCGGGAGAGGUGAGUGGAACUGCGAGUGUAGAGGUGAAAUUCGUAGAUAUUCGCAAGAACACCAGUGGCGAAGGCGGCUCACUGGCCCGAUACUGACGCUGAGGCACGAAAGCGUGGGGAGCAAACAGG
This 253-nucleotide ribosomal RNA is filed under the name uncultured bacterium. RNAcentral's name for it is "partial 16S ribosomal RNA". It matches the Rfam family "Bacterial small subunit ribosomal RNA", at positions 524 to 776 of the family's 1533-position model. The record is from RNAcentral.